CGGUUGAUCCCGCCGGACCUGACUGCUAUCGGAUUGAUACUAAGCCAUGCGAGUCAUUGUAGCAAUACAAGGCAGACGGCUCAGUAACGCGUAGUCAACCUAACCUAUGGACGAGAAUAACCUCGGGAAACUGAGAAUAAUGCUCGAUAGAACACUAUACCUGGAAUGGUUUGUGUUCCAAAUGAUUUAUCGCCGUAGGAUGGGACUGCGGCCUAUCAGUUUGUUGGUGAGGUAAUGGCCCACCAAGACUAUUACAGGUACGGGCUCUGAGAGGAGUAGCCCGGAGAUGGGUACUGAGACACGGACCCAGGCCCUAUGGGGCGCAGCAGGCGAGAAAACUUUGCAAUGUGCGAAAGCACGACAAGGUUAAUCCGAGUGAUUUGUGCUAAACGAAUCUUUUGUUAGUCCUAGAACCACUAACGAAUAAGGGGUGGGCAAGUUCUGGUGUCAGCCGCCGCGGUAAAACCAGCACCUCAAGUGGUCAGGAUGAUUAUUGGGCCUAAAGCAUCCGUAGCCGGCUCUGUAAGUUUUCGGUUAAAUCUGUACGCUUAACGUACAGGCUGCCGGGAAUACUGCAGAGCUAGGGAGUGGGAGAGGUAGACGGUACUCGGUAGGAAGGGGUAAAAUCCUUUGAUCUAUUGAUGACCACCUGUGGCGA
RNAcentral lists this ribosomal RNA (658 nucleotides) under uncultured archaeon. RNAcentral describes it as "bacterial SSU rRNA". It matches the Rfam family "Archaeal small subunit ribosomal RNA", at positions 5 to 669 of the family's 1478-position model. The record is from RNAcentral.